GUCAAGUCAUCAUGGCCCUUAUGUCCAGGGCUACACACGUGCUACAAUGGGCGGUACAGAGCGGAGCGAAGCCGCAAGGCUCUAGCAAAUCGCUAAAAGCCGCCCGUAGUUCAGAUUGAAGUCUGAAACCCGACUUCAUGAAGUUGGAAUCGCUAGUAAUCGCGCAUCAGCAUGGCGCGGUGAAUACGUUCCCGGGCCUU
RNAcentral lists this ribosomal RNA (200 nucleotides) under uncultured prokaryote. Its description in RNAcentral is "partial 16S ribosomal RNA". It matches the Rfam family "Bacterial small subunit ribosomal RNA", at positions 1184 to 1382 of the family's 1533-position model. The record is from RNAcentral.